GAUGAACGCUAGCGGCAGGCCUAAUACAUGCAAGUCGAGGGGCAGCAGGUUCGAGUUUACUUGAACGCUGGCGACCGGCGCACGGGUGCGUGACGCGUAUGCAACCUACCCACUACAGGGGGAUAGCCAUUGGAAACAGUGAUUAAUACCCCAUAAUGCAUUGAUCUCACCUGGGAUUAUUAGCUAAAGAUUUAUCGGUAGUGGAUGGGCAUGCGUAAGAUUAGCUAGUUGGUAGUGUAAUAGACUACCAAGGCGACGAUCUUUAGCGGGUCUGAGAGGAUGAUCCGCCACACUGGUACUGAGACACGGACCAGACUCCUACGGGAGGCAGCAGUAGGGAAUAUUGGUCAAUGGGGGCAACCCUGAACCAGCCAUGCCGCGUGCAGGAAGACAGCCUUCUGGGUUGUAAACUGCUUUUAUCAGGGGGGAAUUACCGGGAUGCGUCCCGGGGUUGACAGUACCUGAUGAAUAAGCACCGGCUAACUCCGUGCCAGCAGCCGCGGUAAUACGGAGGGUGCGAGCGUUGUCCGGAUUUAUUGGGUUUAAAGGGUGCGUAGGCGGGACAAUAAGUCAGUGGUGAAAGUCCACCGCUCAACGGUGGGAUUGCCAUUGAUACUGUUGUUCUUGAGUAGAGUCGAGGUAGGCGGAAUUUAUGGUGUAGCGGUGAAAUGCAUAGAUACCAUAAGGAACACCGACAGCGAAGGCAGCUUACUAGACUACUAACUGACGCUGAGGCACGAAAGCGUGGGUAGCGAACAGGAUUAGAUACCCUGGUAGUCCACGCCGUAAACGAUGAUUACUCGAUGUAUGCGAUAGAUAGUAUGCGUCCCAGCGAAAGCGAUAAGUAAUCCACCUGGGGAGUA
Molecule: ribosomal RNA, 863 nt
Filed under: uncultured bacterium
Lineage: Bacteria
Description: bacterial SSU rRNA
Rfam family: Bacterial small subunit ribosomal RNA
Source: RNAcentral